RNAcentral lists this ribosomal RNA (259 nucleotides) under uncultured bacterium. RNAcentral's name for it is "partial 16S ribosomal RNA". It matches the Rfam family "Bacterial small subunit ribosomal RNA", at positions 848 to 1105 of the family's 1533-position model. The record is from RNAcentral.
CAGUUAACACAUUAAGCACUCCGCCUGGGGAGUACGGCCGCAAGGCUGAAACUCAAAGGAAUUGACGGGGGCCCGCACAAGCAGUGGAGCAUGUGGUUUAAUUCGAAGCAACGCGAAGAACCUUACCAGGGCUUGACAUCCCGCUGACCGGUAUAGAGAUAUGCCAUUACCUUCGGGUCCAGCGGAGACAGGUGGUGCAUGGUUGUCGUCAGCUCGUGUCGUGAGAUGUUGGGUUAAGUCCCGCAACGAGCGCAACCCU